This 828-nucleotide ribosomal RNA is filed under the name uncultured Bacillus sp. RNAcentral's name for it is "bacterial SSU rRNA". It matches the Rfam family "Bacterial small subunit ribosomal RNA", at positions 372 to 1189 of the family's 1533-position model. Lineage: Bacteria; Bacillati; Bacillota; Bacilli; Caryophanales; Bacillaceae. The record is from RNAcentral.
UGGACGAAGUCUGACGGAGCAACGCCGCGUGAGUGAUGAAGGUUUUCGGAUCGUAAAACUCUGUUGUUAGGGAAGAACAAGUACCGUUCGAAUAGGGCGGUACCUUGACGGUACCUAACCAGAAAGCCACGGCUAACUACGUGCCAGCAGCCGCGGUAAUACGUAGGUGGCAAGCGUUGUCCGGAAUUAUUGGGCGUAAAGCGCGCGCAGGUGGUUUCUUAAGUCUGAUGUGAAAGCCCACGGCUCAACCGUGGAGGGUCAUUGGAAACUGGGGAACUUGAGUGCAGAAGAGGAAAGUGGAAUUCCAAGUGUAGCGGUGAAAUGCGUAAAUAUUUGGAGGAACACCAGUGGCGAAGGCGACUUUCUGGUCUGUAACUGACACUGAGGCGCGAAAGCGUGGGGAGCAAACAGGAUUAAAUACCCUGGUAGUCCACGCCGUAAACGAUGAGUGCUAAGUGUUAGGGGGUUUCCGCCCCUUAGUGCUGCAGCUAACGCAUUAAGCACUCCGCCUGGGGAGUACGGUCGCAAGACUGAAACUCAAAGGAAUUGACGGGGGCCCGCACAAGCGGUGGAGCAUGUGGUUUAAUUCGAAGCAACGCGAAGAACCUUACCAGGUCUUGACAUCCUCUGACAACCCUAGAGAUAGGGCUUUCCCCUUCGGGGGACAGAGUGACAGGUGGUGCAUGGUUGUCGUCAGCUCGUGUCGUGAGAUGUUGGGUUAAGUCCCGCAACGAGCGCAACCCUUGAUCUUAGUUGCCAGCAUUCAGUUGGGCACUCUAAGAUGACUGCCGGUGACAAACCGGAGGAAGGGUGGGGGAUGACGUCAAA